UCGACCGCCAUUUUAGUUAUAGAAUUUGUCACGGAUCAUCGUGUGAUAUAUUGACCGGCUGUUAGACACUGUCCUAACCAACAAAAAAAAUCGCUUUUUUCACACAACUUUAACCAAGUUUUGCGUACUCGUAAAUUUAGUUGAUCGUAUAAAAUAUUUUUCCAUACACGCGAAUGCCUUAGUCUUGAUAGGAACGUCAUCCAUUAUUGAAAUACGUUAUUAACCGUUAGAUUGUUUUGCUGAUUUUGUGAACAACCAAUCAAUUCUUGCUACUAGCUGAAGGCUUUUUGUCAAAAUUUGGAAUCUUGCAAUUUAAUUAUUUUAUCUUAUACAAGUUUCUGGCAUGUGUCAGCCAAUAGGGUCCAGCAAUGGCAUGGUCCCCUUUCACUGUAGGGUGACCUACGUCCUUCAUAAUUUAAAAUGUCUAGCUAUGUGUUAGAACAAGAUAUUACAUGGAGGUGAAGCAUCAAUAGGAGACUUGAUUUGUCAACUGUUGGUUGAGAUGACUAAAGACAUGGAGUGGAUCACAAUUUCAUUUCCACACUCAUCUUUGGAGCCCUGGGGUGUCCACAGUUGUAGCGGUACAUAACUGUCUGUUCAGGCCACAAAUAAUGAAUGUCAAAUCUAUCCACAUCUGACAUGGAGACAAGUACCAUAUCAUACAUAAAAAUGCCUGAAGAUAAAAAUGGAUUAGAGGCAUGUUGGAGUGAUGUUCUAGAAAGCAGCAUCCCAAGGGCAAGAAUCUGAAUCUAAAGGCUGGUCAACACAAUAUAUAUUUUGUAACUUCGUUUUCUUUCAUUGAUGAUGAAAUUGAAUUAAAUUUGAAAUUGAAAGUUAUUGAAGCAAUUUGCCGACCAAUACGAUGGAACGUGUGAAGAGUUGACGAAAUGUCUGAACGAAGCAACAUUCAAAAGUUGGAAUAAAGUCAGGAAACUGCUUGCAUGUUAAAACAUAGAAUAUCUGAGUUUACAGUGCAAGAAAUUUCAGGCUUGUGGCACGAUAAAGGCAGUAGAUGGUGGGAAUUUGCAUUAUAAAUCAAAAUUGUGCGUCAAGUACUUGUUGUCUGUUGACCACUAAAUAAUAGUUCUAGUUAGUAUAUCUUAAAAUUGAUUUCUUCUUUGAUAUUAUUAAAAGUCAAUACAAAAAAGAUGUAAAGGAA
Long non-coding RNA from Daphnia magna, 1159 nucleotides. RefSeq lists it as uncharacterized. NCBI's taxonomy places the organism in Eukaryota, Metazoa, Arthropoda, Branchiopoda, Diplostraca, Daphniidae. The transcript has 4 exons. The record is from RefSeq and is a predicted model, not a curated record.